GAUGAACGCUGGCGGCGUGCCUAAUACAUGCAAGUCGAGCGAACGGACGAGAAGCUUGCUUCUCUGAUGUUAGCGGCGGACGGGUGAGUAACACGUGGAUAACCUACCUAUAAGACUGGGAUAACUUCGGGAAACCGGAGCUAAUACCGGAUAAUAUUUUGAACCGCAUGGUUCAAAAGUGAAAGACGGUCUUGCUGUCACUUAUAGAUGGAUCCGCGCUGCAUUAGCUAGUUGGUAAGGUAACGGCUUACCAAGGCAACGAUGCAUAGCCGACCUGAGAGGGUGAUCGGCCACACUGGAACUGAGACACGGUCCAGACUCCUACGGGAGGCAGCAGUAGGGAAUCUUCCGCAAUGGGCGAAAGCCUGACGGAGCAACGCCGCGUGAGUGAUGAAGGUCUUCGGAUCGUAAAACUCUGUUAUUAGGGAAGAACAUAUGUGUAAGUAACUGUGCACAUCUUGACGGUACCUAAUCAGAAAGCCACGGCUAACUACGUGCCAGCAGCCGCGGUAAUACGUAGGUGGCAAGCGUUAUCCGGAAUUAUUGGGCGUAAAGCGCGCGUAGGCGGUUUUUUAAGUCUGAUGUGAAAGCCCACGGCUCAACCGUGGAGGGUCAUUGGAAACUGGAAAACUUGAGUGCAGAAGAGGAAAGUGGAAUUCCAUGUGUAGCGGUGAAAUGCGCAGAGAUAUGGAGGAACACCAGUGGCGAAGGCGACUUUCUGGUCUGUAACUGACGCUGAUGUGCGAAAGCGUGGGGAUCAAACAGGAUUAGAUACCCUGGUAGUCCACGCCGUAAACGAUGAGUGCUAAGUGUUAGGGGGUUUCCGCCCCUUAGUGCUGCAGCUAACGCAUUAAGCACUCCGCCUGGGGAGUACGACCGCAAGGUUGAAACUCAAAGGAAUUGACGGGGACCCGCACAAGCGGUGGAGCAUGUGGUUUAAUUCGAAGCAACGCGAAGAACCUUACCAAAUCUUGACAUCCUUUGACAACUCUAGAGAUAGAGCUUUCCCCUUCGGGGGACAAAGUGACAGGUGGUGCAUGGUUGUCGUCAGCUCGUGUCGUGAGAUGUUGGGUUAAGUCCCGCAACGAGCGCAACCCUUAAGCUUAGUUGCCAUCAUUAAGUUGGGCACUCUAAGUUGACUGCCGGUGACAAACCGGAGGAAGGUGGGGAUGACGUCAAAUCAUCAUGCCCCUUAUGAUUUGGGCUACACACGUGCUACAAUGGACAAUACAAAGGGCAGCGAAACCGCGAGGUCAAGCAAAUCCCAUAAAGUUGUUCUCAGUUCGGAUUGUAGUCUGCAACUCGACUACAUGAAGCUGGAAUCGCUAGUAAACGUAGAUCAGCAUGCUACGGUGAAUACGUUCCCGGGUCU
This 1372-nucleotide ribosomal RNA is filed under the name uncultured bacterium. RNAcentral's name for it is "bacterial SSU rRNA". It matches the Rfam family "Bacterial small subunit ribosomal RNA", at positions 28 to 1381 of the family's 1533-position model. The record is from RNAcentral.